CCUACGGGUGGGCUGCAGUGGGGAAUUUUGGACAAUGGGCGCAAGCCUGAUCCAGCCAUGCCGCGUGAGUGAAGAAGGCCUUCGGGUUGUAAAGCUCUUUCGGCGGGGACGAAACGGUUCGUGCCAACACCACGGAUCAAUGACGGUACUCGCAGAAGAAGCACCGGCUAACUACGUGCCAGCAGCCGCGGUAAUACGUAGGGUGCAGGCGUUAAUCGGAAUUACUGGGCGUAAAGCGUGCGCAGGCGGGAAAUCCCCGGGCUUAACCUGGGAACUGCGUUUGAAACUGGGGAGCUGGAGUGUGGAAGAGGGGGGUGGAAUUCCAUGUGUAGCAGUGAAAUGCGUAGAGAUAUGGAGGAACACCGAUGGCGAAGGCAGCCCCCUGGGCUAACACUGACGCUCAUGCACGAAAGCGUGGGGAGCAAACAGGAUUAGAUACCCCUGUAGUC
Molecule: ribosomal RNA, 449 nt
Filed under: uncultured bacterium
Lineage: Bacteria
Description: partial 16S ribosomal RNA
Rfam family: Bacterial small subunit ribosomal RNA
Source: RNAcentral